Oenanthe melanoleuca is the source of this 1722-nucleotide long non-coding RNA. RefSeq lists it as uncharacterized. NCBI's taxonomy places the organism in Eukaryota, Metazoa, Chordata, Aves, Passeriformes, Muscicapidae. The transcript has 3 exons. The record is from RefSeq and is a predicted model, not a curated record.
UCGCUUUACCAGGGAAAAACUCAGCGGUGGGGGGGAAGAGGGAGAGGAGCGCUUGGUUUUUCUCUUUUAUUGGCAUUUGGGACCAGCGCAGCCAAAGUUGCCCCUCGGAUGCCAGCGCUGCAAUUUUCCAGCGCCUAAACACACAGGGGGUAGAUUUGGAAAUUCAUUUCUCGCAGUCAGCAAAUAUUACCCAGACGUUUCUCAGUUAAUAACGACUCCGAACCCUCCCGGCCCCUCCAGAGCCCCCCGCAAUUCCAGCUGGAUUUCCCCCCAGCCCUCCAUCCUCUCUUUCCCCACCUCAAUUUUUAAUUUUUUCUCCCUAUUUUGCCCCUCCCAGGUCGCUGCUGCUUCCCCGCUGCGGGGCUGGACGCCAGAAAGGUGAAUUUUGGGAGGGUUCCACUCCAGCUGAGCGACAAAAUUCAACCUCCCCAGCACCAAAAAAAAGGGGAAAGUUGAAAUAUUUCACUUUUUCUGCAUUAGUUAAAAAAGAAACAACAAAACCCCGCGUUAAAAUGAUCAGUGGGGAUGAGCGGGGAACGGAGGAAGGCAGAGAGAAAGAAAACAAAGAUAGCAACGGAAUAAAACUUUAAACCCAUCCUUAGAGAAAUAAUUUAAGUAAAUUCGCUUCCUUUAUUUUGUGGAGGGAUAAUUCCAGCCGAGUCUAAGAGCUUUUUUCGGGUAAUUAUUGCUGCUGGAGCACUUGCAGCGCGAUAAUUAAAGCUUUUCUCGCCCCUCUACAAGACGAGUUAACGUUUUCUUUUCUCUCCGCACUUUUAUUGUCGAUUGAGCAGAUUUGAGUUUCAUCUCGCAACAUUAAAAGCCCCGAAAAUGGAGCAGAGAAGUAAAUAGAGCUUCGCAGCCCGGCGUGGAAUAUUCAAGCCGCGCGGCUUCACGAGCAAUAAAACGUCAAACGGAUUUGGAGAGGGAAUCCCAGGAAUUGGAAAAAGGAACCGCGAGUGAGACCCGAGCUGCAGAACUCUUCCAGGACGACAAAAUCGAAUUAAAAAAAAUAAUAAAUUUUAAUUUUAAAAUUGAAAAACCUCACGGAAGAAAGAGCGACACGAGCUCCAGCACAGAAACACGAGCACGAAACACGCGGCACAAACACGGGACCGACCUCAGCUAAACCCCCCCCGCCCCUCCCCCUCCUCCCUCCCCAAAAAAAAAAAACAAAAUUAAUUUUUCACAGAGAUAAAAGAAACCAAAAUCCCAGCCCGGAUAACUCCAGAUUUGGGGUUUUUUUGAGGUUUUUUGCUGAUUUUUUGCGGAUUUUUACUGAUUUUUUGAGGAUUUUUACUGAUUUUUUGAGGAUUUUUUGGGAAUUUUGCUGAAUUUUUUUGCGGAUUUUUUUUUGCCCAUUUUUGUGCAUUUUUGAGGGGGUUUUAAGGAUUUUUUUUUGUCGAUAUUUGCGGGUUUUUGCAAUUUUUUGCGGCUUUUUUGCGCAUUUUUCCUGAAUUAUUUGCGGAUUUUUGCUGAAGUUUUGAGGAUUUUUUUUGGCGGAUUUUUGCUGAAGUUUUGAGGAUUUUUUUCUGAUUUUUCACAGAUUUUUUUUUGCGGAUUUCUUUUUGCGGAUUUUUUGCUGAAGUUUUUCCUGAUUUUUUUUUUUUUGCGGGUUUUUAGCUGAUUUUUUUUUUUGCGGAUUCUUGUCGAAUUUUACUCAUUUUUGCCAAUUUUUUGAGGAUGAGGAUGGAGAAACUCCAGGUCCUUCCUUGGGGGACAUUU